GACGAACGCUGGCGGCGUGCUUAACACAUGCAAGUCGAACGGAAAGGCCCUGCUUUUGUGGGGUGCUCGAGUGGCGAACGGGUGAGUAACACGUGAGUAACCUGCCCUUGACUUUGGGAUAACUUCAGGAAACUGGGGCUAAUACCGGAUAGGAGCUCCUGCUGCAUGGUGGGGGUUGGAAAGUUUCGGCGGUUGGGGAUGGACUCGCGGCUUAUCAGCUUGUUGGUGGGGUAGUGGCUUACCAAGGCUUUGACGGGUAGCCGGCCUGAGAGGGUGACCGGCCACAUUGGGACUGAGGGACGGCCCAGACUCGUACGGGAGGCAGCAGUGGAGAAUAUUGCACAAUGGGCGGAAGCGUGAGGCAGCAACGCCGCGUGCGGGAUGACGGCCUUCGGGUUGUAAACCGCUUUGGCCUGUGACGAAGCGUGAGUGACGGUAAUGGGUAAAGAAGCACCGGCUAACUACGUG
This 468-nucleotide ribosomal RNA is filed under the name uncultured bacterium. RNAcentral describes it as "partial 16S ribosomal RNA". It matches the Rfam family "Bacterial small subunit ribosomal RNA", at positions 28 to 507 of the family's 1533-position model. The record is from RNAcentral.